CCUACGGGUGACAGCAGUGAGGAAUAUUGGUCAAUGGGCGCGAGCCUGAACCAGCCAAGUAGCGUGAAGGAUGACUGCCCUACGGGUUGUAAACUUCUUUUAUAAAGGAGUAAAGUCAGGCACGUGUGCCUUUUUGUAUGUACUUGAUGAAUAAGGAUCGGCUAACUCCGUGCCAGCAGCCGCGGUAAUACGGAGGAUCCGAGCGUUAUCCGGAUUUAUUGGGUUUAAAGGGAGCGUAGAUGGGUUGUUAAGUCAGUUGUGAAAGUUUGCGGCUCAACCGUAAAAUUGCAAUUGAUACUGUUAGCCUUGAGUACAGUUGAGGUAGGCGGAAUUCGUGGUGUAGCGGUGAAAUGCUUAGAUAUCACGAAGAACUCCGAUUGCGAAGGCAGCAUAC
This 394-nucleotide ribosomal RNA is filed under the name uncultured bacterium. Its description in RNAcentral is "partial 16S ribosomal RNA". It matches the Rfam family "Bacterial small subunit ribosomal RNA", at positions 338 to 729 of the family's 1533-position model. The record is from RNAcentral.